Molecule: ribosomal RNA, 426 nt
Filed under: uncultured bacterium
Lineage: Bacteria
Description: partial 16S ribosomal RNA
Rfam family: Bacterial small subunit ribosomal RNA
Source: RNAcentral
GUGAGGAAUUUUCCGCAAUGGGCGAAAGCCUGACGGAGCAAUGCCGCGUGAAGGAUGAAGGCCUAUGGGUUGUAAACUUCUUUUCUCAGAAAAGAAUUAUGACGGUAUCUGAGGAAUAAGCAUCGGCUAACUCUGUGCCAGCAGCCGCGGUAAGACAGAGGAUGCAAGCGUUAUCCGGAAUGAUUGGUCGUAAAGCGUCUGUAGGUUGUUUAAAAAGUAUUCUGUCAAAGAUUAGGGCUUAACCCUAGAUAGGCAGAAUAAACUUUUAAGCUAGAGUUUGGUAGAGGCAGAGGGAAUUCCCGGUGGAGCGGUGAAAUGCGUAGAUAUCGGGAGGAACACCAAAGGCGAAGGCACUCUGCUGGGCCAAUACUAACACUGAGAGACGAAAGCGAGGGGAGCAAAUGGGAUUAGAAACCCGGGUAGUCC